Molecule: long non-coding RNA, 404 nt
Organism: Rana temporaria (common frog)
Lineage: Eukaryota; Metazoa; Chordata; Amphibia; Anura; Ranidae
Exons: 3
Source: RefSeq, a predicted model, not a curated record
UCUGUGUGUGUAAUCAUCGAUAUAUCCUAAUAGAAGAAUGGACGGACCACGAGGCAGAGAGGAAAACGAUGGAACGUAACAAAGACUACGGUAUUUGUAUUUAACACAAGGUGGCGACCUCACGUAUUGUCAGUGGAAUGCAAAGACAGGAAGUGAUGUCAGGUAGAGACAGGAAAUUAUGUCAGGUACAGACAGGAAGUGAUGCAAGAGCAUAUAUAGGAAGUUCCGAGUGAGAAGUAAGUCAGGAAGUAGAGAGGAGACGUUGCUGGAAGUGGCAGUAGAGGAGUCAUUUAUCCAACGUGAGCAGUAUUUAGAAGGACGCAAGGAUCUCUACAAGGACGUCAUGAUGGAGAAUCAGCCGCCCCUCACAUCACCGGAUGGAUCCAGUAAUGGGAACCCAACAG